This 195-nucleotide ribosomal RNA is filed under the name uncultured bacterium. Its description in RNAcentral is "partial 16S ribosomal RNA". It matches the Rfam family "Bacterial small subunit ribosomal RNA", at positions 1309 to 1500 of the family's 1533-position model. The record is from RNAcentral.
AACCCGCCCUCGCAUGAAGUCGGAAUCGCUAGUAAUCGCGAGUCAGCAUAUCGCGGUGAAUACGUUCCCGGGUCUUGUACACACCGCCCGUCACACCAUGGGAGUUGGCAACACCCGAAGUCGACGAGCUAACCUUUUAGGAGGCAGUCGCCUAAGGUGGGGUUGAUAACUGGGGUGAAGUCGUAACAAGGUAUC